AGAGUUUGAUCCUGGCUCAGGAUGAACGCUGGCGGCGUGCCUAACACAUGCAAGUCGAGCGAUUCUCUUCGGAGAAGAGCGGCGGACGGGUGAGUAACGCGUGGGUAACCUGCCCUGUACACACGGAUAACAUACCGAAAGGUAUGCUAAUACGGGAUAAUAUAUAAGAGUCGCAUGACUUUUAUAUCAAAGAUUUUUCGGUACAGGAUGGACCCGCGUCUGAUUAGCUUGUUGGCGGGGUAACGGCCCACCAAGGCGACGAUCAGUAGCCGACCUGAGAGGGUGAUCGGCCACAUUGGAACUGAGACACGGUCCAAACUCCUACGGGAGGCAGCAGUGGGGAAUAUUGCACAAUGGGCGCAAGCCUGAUGCAGCAACGCCGCGUGAGCGAUGAAGGCCUUCGGGUCGUAAAGCUCUGUCCUCAAGGAAGAUAAUGACGGUACUUGAGGAGGAAGCCCCGGCUAACUACGUGCCAGCAGCCGCGGUAAUACGUAGGGGGCUAGCGUUAUCCGGAUUUACUGGGCGUAAAGGGUGCGUAGGCGGUCUUUCAAGUCAGGAGUUAAAGGCUACGGCUCAACCGUAGUAAGCUCCUGAUACUGUCUGACUUGAGUGCAGGAGAGGAAAGCGGAAUUCCCAGUGUAGCGGUGAAAUGCGUAGAUAUUGGGAGGAACACCAGUAGCGAAGGCGGCUUUCUGGACUGUAACUGACGCUGAGGCACGAAAGCGUGGGGAGCAAACAGGAUUAGAUACCCUGGUAGUCCACGCUGUAAACGAUGAGUACUAGGUGUCGGAGGUUACCCCCUUCGGUGCCGCAGCUAAC
RNAcentral lists this ribosomal RNA (819 nucleotides) under uncultured bacterium. Its description in RNAcentral is "bacterial SSU rRNA". It matches the Rfam family "Bacterial small subunit ribosomal RNA", at positions 8 to 856 of the family's 1533-position model. The record is from RNAcentral.